ACAGUCAUCCCUCUCCAAUCAGACUUUUCCCAACUGCAGUUUUCUGUAUCCACGACUUGAAUAUACAUGAUUCUUUCAGGAUUUCAUUUGCAAGAUGCACAAUUUUUUGCGGGUGAAGGAGGAGGCACGUUGUCAAGAGGUGGAAGGAAGAAAGAGAAAGAGACAGAGAAGGGAAAGGAAGACAGAAGAGCAGAGGAAGGAGAGACAGAGGGAGAUGGAGGUGAGUGGGCAGCUGGAAUGCUGAUCAUGCUGACCCCCACCCACCCCAGUUGUGCCUGCCUGUUGCCAGCCUGCCACUAGUCAGAAAACCUCCCCCCCACGAUUAGUGUGUGGGGCAGAAGAUCUUCUGGAUAACAUGGGGAGAGAGGUAGAGAAGUGGAGGUGAGAGAGAGAUACGAGGAAGAGCUCAGUAGUGAGUAAUAACUCAGAAAAUUGGUCCAAAGCAUGCAGUCAAGGGAAAGGAAGGUGCUGUUUUGUCCCUGGAGGACAACAUCAAAGUCCUGGACUCCUUGAGGGAAGGCCAAAGCAACAGUGCAGUUGGAAGAUUGGGGUCAAGAAAUCAACCAUCUGCAGAAUGAAGAAGAAUGAGGCUGCCAUCAGAGACAGUGUUACCAGUGGGACCCAGUCCUCCCUUAAAGUCUCCUACAUACCGCAAGACCUCAACAUUGAGAAGAUGGAGAAGGCCCUGAACAUCUGGAUGGAGGACCAGACACAGGAAAAAGGUUCAUCUCAGCACCUGCAUGAUCUGCAUUAAGAUGCAGAAGAUCUACAGGCACCUGGUGGAGAGCUCUGGAGAGAGCGACCCUGAGAAGUUUUAAGCCAGCAAGGGCUGGUUUGAGAACUUCAAGAAGUGCUUCAGCCUGCACAAUGUGAAACUUGUUGGGGAGAUUGCCUCUGCAGACCAGGAGGCUACAGCAACUUUUCCUGCUGAGCUGCUGGUCAUGGAGAUGGGCUUUGUGACUAGGUGUUCAACACAGACAAGACAGGACUCUUCUGGAUGAGGAUACCUAAACACACCUUCAUUGCCAAGGAGAAGAGAAGGUCUCCAGGAUUCAAGGCUGCAAAGGACAGAAUGACCCUUCUGGUCUGCUCCAGUGCCUCAGGUGGCCUAAUGGUGAAGCCUAUGUUGGUCUACAGGUUCCUGAAUCCAUGGGCAGUGAAGAGGAAGAACAUGAACCACCUCCUUGUGUUCUGGAGGUCAAACAUGAAGGCCUGGGUAACGUGCACCAUCUUCCUGUCCUGAUUCAAUGACUGUUUUGUGCAUUAGGUGGAGCACUACCUGAGAGAGAAGAACCUGGUUUUGAAGGCACUGCUGCUGUUGAACAAUGCCCCAGGGCAUCCUCUGGACCUGUUGCUUGCCCACCCCAAUGUGGAAGUGAUGUUCAUGCCUCCAAACAUCAUGUUGCUCAUCCAGCCUCUGACCCAAGGCAUCACCCAGGCCUUCAUGAGAUACUACACAAGGCACAACUUUGAGCACAUUGCUGACCUUAUGGAUACAGGGGCGUAACUACAAUUAGGCAGGGGGAGGCCGUUGUCUUGGGGCACCCCGCCUUGGGGGGGGGGCCCUCAGAGGCUUUCCCCCACCCAGUGCCUACCCGAUCUUCCUUGUGAAGUCAUUUAAGGGGGGGGGGGCAUUUAAGAAUCUUAUCUCAGGGCCCACUCCAACCUAGUUACGCCCCUGUAUGGAUAGCAACCCGAUCUGACCCUGAAGGAAGCCUGGAAGGGCUAUAACAUCGCCCAUGCCUUGACCAUCAUCAAGGAGGCAAUGGAUGAGAUCAGGAGUAGCACCCUGAAUGUGGAAGGAGGCUGUGAAAGACAACACUACUUUGCCAGCUGCGGAGGAAGAGGUUGGGAGGAUAGUGGUUUCUGCCAGGCAACUUGGCAGCUAGGGCUUUGAGGACAUCCAGCCAGCUAAAGUUGCUGAGCUCCUAGAAUCACACUCUGAGCAGCUCACCAAGCAAGACCCAGAGGCCCUUAUUAAAUCCUCCAGUGGUCAGGAAGAAGCUGGCGAAGAAGAAGAUGACUGCACGGCCAUAGCAAAGCUGACCCUGGAAAAGAUCAACAGGUUCCUCAGACAUGCCUCAGAGUUGGCAGAUGAGGCAGUGGACAUGGACCCCUUUAGGGAGCUCAGCCUGACAUUCGGGUGAGGACUGAAUAAUGUCCAAAAAGACCUCAGGAAGAAGCUGGCACAGCCAACCCUCCUGAACUUUUUCAAGAGAGCACAGUCUGGCACUUCAGAACAACCUGGCACUCCAGAGCAGCCUGGCACUGUGGGGAGCAGCUGUGAACUGCCUGCAACA
Molecule: long non-coding RNA, 2300 nt
Organism: Hemicordylus capensis (graceful crag lizard)
Lineage: Eukaryota; Metazoa; Chordata; Lepidosauria; Squamata; Cordylidae
Exons: 3
Source: RefSeq, a predicted model, not a curated record